AUGAAUAUCCUAUCAUGGAACUGCCGGGAGGGGCGGGGGAACCGCCAGACAGUUCGUGAGGUUUUGGCCCUCUCAAAAGUCAACAACCCCAAGCUAGUCUUUCUUUGUUAGACUAGGCAAGAAGCAGCUAAAGUGGAGAAAUUGAAGUGGAGAUUGGACCUAAAAGGCUUUCAUGGUGUUAGCAGUGAUGGAUGUAGUGGUGGUCUUGCUUUGUUCUGGGAGGAGACGCUAUCAGUGACAGUGCUCGAAUCAUAUAACAGAUUUAUUGACAUUAGAGUUCACGAUGCGGGUUCCGAUACUACUUGGAGAGGAACCUUUGUUUAUGGUGAACCGCGAGUGGAAAAUCAUCAGCGUAUGUGGGAUCAUCUUUGUCGCCUGAGAGCAAUUUCACAAGAUCCUUGGUGGUGUGUGGCGACUUCAAUGAAGCCUUAUGGCAGCAUGAACAUCUCUCAAGAACGACUAGAUCGGAGUCUCAAAUGGAAGUGUUCAGAGAUUGCUUGGUAA
Molecule: ribosomal RNA, 504 nt
Filed under: Triticum aestivum (bread wheat)
Lineage: Eukaryota; Viridiplantae; Streptophyta; Magnoliopsida; Poales; Poaceae
Description: partial small subunit ribosomal RNA
Source: RNAcentral